AUUGCAACAUUUGAGGCGGCUGAUAUGAAUUCCAAAGAUGCAUUUGCUGUUUUCUCUCCAGGUGUAGGCAAAAAUGAGAAUAGGAUAUUAUAUUUUUGGGUAGGAAGGUCUUUUGAUCAUGAUGAAAAUCAAAUUCGAUUAGAUAGUAACAAAGAGUUAAAUGAUCUAAAAGAGAACGAUUGGAAUCAAGUUGGUCGUGCUGCUCUUGCCCAAAUGGGUCUUCCGAAAGACACGGCUGUCAAGAUUGUUAAAGAAGAUGAAGAGCCAAUAGAGCUUCUUGCAUUGCUGAGUUCGUUGUAGUGGCAAUGCAAAAAGAUUCUGGAAUCCAGUGCCUUAAAAUCUUUCUCUGUUUCUUUGGUUGGCUUAAUUGCACUUCAACUUUCUCAGGCAUCAUAUUGAACUUUCCCUUGCAAAAACCAGCGAGGAGGCUGAUUUGAAAGUUCUCUGUGGCUCUUCACUUGGUUGUACAGUGCUGUAACACCUUCACUCUCUAGUAACACAUUUUCUUGCACAAUGAAUCAUCAAAUCUGACAAACUGAAUUUUCUUGUAUAUUCGCAAUUAGAAACAAUCUGAGGGCCAUAGCGGAAUAAUAGAUUCGUUGAUACUUUCUUUUGUUGGUUAAUCUUAUUCGUUCUUUA
Corylus avellana is the source of this 639-nucleotide non-coding RNA. NCBI's taxonomy places the organism in Eukaryota, Viridiplantae, Streptophyta, Magnoliopsida, Fagales, Betulaceae. The record is from RefSeq and is a predicted model, not a curated record.